AUUAGUCUUUUAAUUGGAGACUGGUAUGAAUGGCUAAACGAGAAAUUAACUUUUUUUGUUAUAAAAAUCUAAUUUAAUUUUUUAGUGAAAAAGCUAAAAUUUUUCAGAAAGACGAGAAGACCCUAUAGAGUUUUAUAUAAAUUUUGUAUUUAUUUUUAAUAGAUUUUUAAAAAAUAAGUAUAAAUUAAAUAUUUUGUUGGGGCGACAUUAAGAUAAAAAAAACUCUUUUUUUAAAAAAAUUUUUAUAAAAAUAUUUUUUGAUCCUUUAAAAAAGAUCAAAAGAAAAAAUUACCUUAGGGAUAACAGCGUAAUCUUUUUUUAGAGUUCUAAUCGACAAAAAGGUUUGCGACCUCGAUGUUGGACUAAAAUUUAGGCAGGGUGCAGCAGUUCUGCUUUUAGGUCUGUUCGACCUAUAAUAUUUUACACGAUCUGAGUUCAGACCGGCGUAAG
RNAcentral lists this ribosomal RNA (450 nucleotides) under Nobia grandis. RNAcentral's name for it is "partial 16S ribosomal RNA". The stretch from base 80 to 450 matches the Rfam family "Bacterial large subunit ribosomal RNA", at positions 2048 to 2625 of the family's 2925-position model. The record is from RNAcentral. Lineage: Eukaryota; Metazoa; Arthropoda; Thecostraca; Balanomorpha; Pyrgomatidae.